Molecule: ribosomal RNA, 253 nt
Filed under: uncultured bacterium
Lineage: Bacteria
Description: partial 16S ribosomal RNA
Rfam family: Bacterial small subunit ribosomal RNA
Source: RNAcentral
UACGUAGGGGGCAAGCGUUGUCCGGAUUUAUUGGGCGUAAAGCGCUCGCAGGUGGUUCGUCGCGUCGUGCGUGAAAGACCCCGGCUCAACUGGGGGAGGUCGUGCGAUACGGGCGGACUGGAGGCCGGUAGGGGGAUGCGGAAUUCCGGGUGUAGUGGUGGAAUGCGUAGAUAUCGGGAGGAACACCAGUGGCGAAGGCGGCUUUCUGGUCUGCUCUUGACGCUGAGGCGCGAAAGCUAGGGUAGCAAACGGG